AACAGGAUUAGAUACCCUGGUAGUCCACGCCGUAAACGAUGAGUGCUAAGUGUUAGAGGGUUUCCGCCCUUUAGUGCUGCAGCUAACGCAUUAAGCACUCCGCCUGGGGAGUACGGUCGCAAGACUGAAACUCAAAGGAAUUGACGGGGGCCCGCACAAGCGGUGGAGCAUGUGGUUUAAUUCGAAGCAACGCGAAGAACCUUACCAGGUCUUGACAUCCUCUGACAACUCUAGAGAUAGAGCGUUCCCCUUCGGGGGACAGAGUGACAGGUGGUGCAUGGUUGUCGUCAGCUCGUGUCGUGAGAUGUUGGGUUAAGUCCCGCAACGAGCGCAACCCUUGAUCUUAGUUGCCAGCAUUUAGUUGGGCACUCUAAGGUGACUGCCGGUGACAAACCGGAGGAAGGUGGGGAUGACGUCAAAUCAUCAUGCCCCUUAUGACCUGGGCUACACACGUGCUACAAUGGAUGGUACAAAGGGCUGCAAGACCGCGAGGUCAAGCCAAUCCCAUAAAACCAUUCUCAGUUCGGAUUGUAGGCUGCAACUCGCCUACAUGAAGCUGGAAUCGCUAGUAAUCGCGGAUCAGCAUGCCGCGGUGAAUAUGUACCCGGGCCCUGUACACACCGCCCGUCACACCCUGGGAAUUGGUUUCGCCCGAAGCAUCGGACCAAUGAUCACCCAUGACUUCUGUGUACCACUAGUGCCACAAAGGCCUUUGGUGGUCUUAUUGGCGCAUACCACGGUGGGGUCUUCGACUGGGGUGAAGUCGUAACAAGGUAACC
RNAcentral lists this ribosomal RNA (779 nucleotides) under uncultured bacterium. RNAcentral's name for it is "bacterial SSU rRNA". It matches the Rfam family "Bacterial small subunit ribosomal RNA", at positions 771 to 1501 of the family's 1533-position model. The record is from RNAcentral.